RNAcentral lists this ribosomal RNA (270 nucleotides) under uncultured archaeon. RNAcentral's name for it is "partial 16S ribosomal RNA". It matches the Rfam family "Archaeal small subunit ribosomal RNA", at positions 477 to 747 of the family's 1478-position model. The record is from RNAcentral.
CGGCACCUCAAGUGGUCAGGAUGAUUAUUGGGCCUAAAGCAUCCGUAGCCGGCGCUGUAAGUUUUCGGUUAAAUCUGUACGCUCAACGUACAGGCUGCCGGGAAUACUGCAGAGCUAGGGAGUGGGAGAGGUAGACGGUACUCGGUAGGAAGGGGUAAAAUCCUUUGAUCUAUUGAUGACCACCUGUGGCGAAGGCGGUCUACCAGAACACGUCCGACGGUGAGGGAUGAAAGCUGGGGGAGCAAACCGGAUUAGAGACCCGAGUAGUCC